GAUUGUUGCAAUGAUUGCAGAACAUUGUGCUGUUGAGCAAAGACUUCACAAUAUUGUCAAUGAUGUCUUGGCUCGGCAUUCAAAUCAAUCUGAGCCCCAAGCUGUUUCGUUGCGGGAACGAGACACAGACCCAAAUCAAAUUACCACAAGGACAAUAAAUACAGAAACAGAAGCCAGAGAAGCUGUUUCGUUGCGGGAACAAGACACAGACCAAAAUCAAAUGACCACAAUGCCAUUAAAUAUAGAAAUAGAAGCCAGAGGAGACAUGUUGUCAACAAACACAUUGGGUUGCUUCUCGCAAAGCAAUACUGAUGAAAUUACAGAUGAGCAGAUUCUGGAGAUCCUUGACCCAGACAGAGGGACCGAUGAUACAAUGGAUGAUUCAAUGUACAGAACAACAGCUGCAGACA
This is a long non-coding RNA of Esox lucius (northern pike), 410 nucleotides long. Lineage: Eukaryota; Metazoa; Chordata; Actinopteri; Esociformes; Esocidae. The record is from Ensembl.